GCCCCUAUAGCUCAGCUGGUAGAGCAACGGUCUUGUAAACCGUAGGUCGUUCGUUCAAAUCGGACUGGGGGCACCA
RNAcentral lists this transfer RNA (76 nucleotides) under Acidobacteriota bacterium. Its description in RNAcentral is "Acidobacteria bacterium (activated sludge metagenome) tRNA-Thr". It matches the Rfam family "tRNA". Rfam says of the family: Transfer RNA (tRNA) molecules are approximately 80 nucleotides in length. Their secondary structure includes four short double-helical elements and three loops (D, anti-codon, and T loops). Further hydrogen bonds mediate the characteristic L-shaped molecular structure. tRNAs have two regions of fundamental functional importance: the anti-codon, which is responsible for specific mRNA codon recognition, and the 3' end, to which the tRNAs corresponding amino acid is attached (by aminoacyl-tRNA synthetases). tRNAs cope with the degeneracy of the genetic code in two manners: having more than one tRNA (with a specific anti-codon) for a particular amino acid; and 'wobble' base-pairing, i.e. permitting non-standard base-pairing at the 3rd anti-codon position. Lineage: Bacteria; Pseudomonadati; Acidobacteriota. The record is from RNAcentral.